This 559-nucleotide long non-coding RNA is filed under the name Musa acuminata (dwarf banana). RNAcentral's name for it is "long non-coding RNA (MACU_LNC005699)". The record is from RNAcentral. Lineage: Eukaryota; Viridiplantae; Streptophyta; Magnoliopsida; Zingiberales; Musaceae.
GAGGGGUAGAUUAGAUAGAAAUUAGAAAAGAACUAUAGACAUAUUUGUGGGAUAAAAUUUCAGACACAUGCCCAAGAGGUAUAACACACAUACAUAGAUUACUUGGACGUCAACCUCUCUAAGCUAGCUGGCUAGCUGACUAGUUAGCUAGCUCAACGUCAGGGAAAAAAUAUAGAUUGGAAUACCCAUCACAGGUCAGCUAGCUCAAUGUCAGGGAAAAAAUAUAGAUUGGAAUACCCAUCACAGGUUUGCUGUCCUACUUUUAGUUGACUCUCCGCCUGAAUCACCCAAGCCGGUCGGUCAACCCCCACAGGUGGAGCCUCCAUGUAAGGGAUGGUUGGACCUAACUUUUGCAUUCUAAGGUUCCUAUUGGCAUGAAUCCUAGUUAACCUAAAUUGAUUAAGAGACAUGAAUUGCAAUUGAUUCAAAAGGAAAAAUAAAAGAAAAUCAGUCAAUCCCCAUUAAUAGCCUAAAUAGGAAUCAGUACGAUUGACUAGUCAAACCAUGACCAAGUAAAUUAGAACUCCCAUAUAAUUUGUGAAAGAAAUCAUGCAUGAUG